AUGAUAAUAAACCAGCUGUUUCUCCCGUCCAAAAUCAUCCAGCUCCCAGGAGGAUGGAUGAACAUGCAGCUGCCGGUGAUGAGUUAUCCUCGAGGAUGUGCACAUAAGGAGGCUCCAACUACUAUUGUUGUUUUUCUUCUCAGUGUAGAGCUCUUUUUCCCCUUUCAAUCCCUCUCUUGUUUCUCCUCUUUUUUCCCUUUCGAUCCCUCUCUUGUUUCUCUACCUGAAGCCUUCAUCUCAGAAGUCCUCUCUAUGCUAGUAAUAAUAAUGUCGGGCAGGCAUCUUUUCUUUCUCUACCAAUGGCUCGAGAAUUAUGUCAAUCAGUAUAAAAACUUUCACUUUUGUAAGUCCUUUCAGACGGCUCAAAAUAGGCUGUUUUGCACAUUGUCUGAAAUGUCUUCAAGGUCUUAUAAAAGUGAACAGAGGGAGUAG
RNAcentral lists this ribosomal RNA (432 nucleotides) under Triticum aestivum (bread wheat). Its description in RNAcentral is "partial small subunit ribosomal RNA". Lineage: Eukaryota; Viridiplantae; Streptophyta; Magnoliopsida; Poales; Poaceae. The record is from RNAcentral.